GACGAACGCUGGCGGCGUGCUUAACACAUGCAAGUCGAACGGAAAGGCCCCCACUUUUUUGGUGGGGGUGCUCGAGUGGCGAACGGGUGAGUAACACGUGGGUGAUCUGCCCUGUACUUCGGGAUAAGCUUGGGAAACUGGGUCUAAUACCGGAUAGGACCAUGGUUUAGUGUCUCAUGGUGGAAAAAUUAUUGUUUUGGUGCAGGAUGAGCUCGCGGCCUAUCAGCUUGUUGGUGGGGUAAUGGCCUACCAAGGCGUCGACGGGUAGCCGGCCUGAGAGGGUGGACGGCCAAAUUGGGACUGAGAUACGGACCAGACUCCUACGGGAGGCAGCAGUGGGGAAUAUUGCACAAUGGGCGCAAGCCUGAUGCAGCGACGCCGCGUGGGGGAUGACGGCCUUCGGGUUGUAAACUCCUUUCGUUAGGGACGAAGCCGCACCUUUUUUGGGUGUGGUGACGGUACCUUUGUUAAGAAGCACCGGCUAACUACGUG
This 492-nucleotide ribosomal RNA is filed under the name uncultured bacterium. Its description in RNAcentral is "partial 16S ribosomal RNA". It matches the Rfam family "Bacterial small subunit ribosomal RNA", at positions 28 to 507 of the family's 1533-position model. The record is from RNAcentral.